UCUUCUUAAAGCUUUCAAGUGGUGUAUAAGUCCCUUUAUGCUGCAAUAAAGGAAUACCCAAGACUGGGUAACUUACAAAGAAAAGAGAUUUAUUUGGCUCAUUGUUCUGCUGGCUAUACAUGAAGCAUAAUGCCAGCAUUUGCUCUGGUGAGGGCCUCAAGAAGCUUAUAAUCACGGAAGAAGGAGAUGGAGAGCCAGCACGUCACAUGGAAGCAUGAGAGGAAGCAAGAGAGACUGGGAGGAGGAGGUAAUCCAAUUAUUGCUUAUGCAAAGGGAUGAGAAAUUUCAGGUUUUUCUUGAAUAUUCUCUGGAGAGCUGCAUUUUGGAAUUGUUAUGGAGAAGAACAGCUUCAUCAAUUCUUUGGUGCAGGAAGCAUGGCAUGGCUUCAGGGGAGCUGGGUGACUGAGAUAUCUCUGUGCUAUUUCUCAGAAGGUAAGAUGGGUUCAUCACCUUUAAAUGACCAAGGCUGUACAGUA
Nomascus leucogenys (northern white-cheeked gibbon) is the source of this 476-nucleotide long non-coding RNA. RefSeq lists it as uncharacterized. The transcript is spliced from 3 exons. The record is from RefSeq and is a predicted model, not a curated record. NCBI's taxonomy places the organism in Eukaryota, Metazoa, Chordata, Mammalia, Primates, Hylobatidae.